UAAGGAAUAUUGCUCAAUGGGAGAAAUCCUGAAGCAGCAACGCCGCGUGGAGGAUGAAGGGUUUUUAACUUGUAAACUCCUGUAAAGAAGGAAAAAAUUCCCAUUAGAUGGGAAAUGAUGGUACUUCUGGAGUAAGCCCCGGCUAACUACGUGCCAGCAGCCGCGGUAAUACGUAGGGGGCAAGCGUUGUCCGGAUUUACUGGGUGUAAAGGGUGCUCAGGCGGAUUUGUAAGUCAGAGGUGAAAUCUCACAGCUUAACUGUGAAACUGCCUUUGAUACUGCAAGCCUAGAGUAUGGAAGAGAGUGAUGGAAUAUCUGGUGUAGCAGUGAAAUGCGUAGAUAUCAGAUAGAACACCAAUGGCGAAGGCAGUCACUUGGUCCAUAACUGACGCUAAAGCACGAAAGCGUGGGUAGCAAACAGGAUUAGAUACCCUGGUAGUCCACGCCCUAAACGAUGUCAACUGGUUGUUGGGAAGGUUCCUUCUCAGUAACGUAGCUAACGCGUGAAGUUGACCGCCUGGGGAGUACGGCCGCAAGGUUGAAACUCAAAUGAAUUGACGGGGUCAUAGCUGUUUCC
RNAcentral lists this ribosomal RNA (577 nucleotides) under uncultured bacterium. RNAcentral describes it as "partial 16S ribosomal RNA". It matches the Rfam family "Bacterial small subunit ribosomal RNA", at positions 355 to 937 of the family's 1533-position model. The record is from RNAcentral.